AAGGAAUAUUGGUGGAUUUCAAGUAAUCAAGCAAUCAAAGGUUCCAACGAAGCCCCAUCGCCCCAUGUGGACAAUUAGAGAAGUAGAGUCGACAAAAGGUUCAACAAGAUACCGAUUCAGUGGUGGUUGAUACGUAGAUUGAGGUGUCCGCGUACCCCCAUCUUUUGGGUAGGUAUCUUGACACUCAGUAGUCACAUCUCCCAUCCAGAGCCACUCCACUGAUGGUCAAAGUCUUUGUAUAUGUUUAAUGUAAAUUGUAAAGAUAUAUUGACAAACUAUCUAUGUAUGAUUUGAAUUAUGAUGCUAAUGUGAGCAUUCACUUAGGUUUUAUAAGUUGCGUUGGAGAAAUCGACAUUUGAAUACUAUUAAG
Molecule: non-coding RNA, 370 nt
Organism: Theobroma cacao (cacao)
Lineage: Eukaryota; Viridiplantae; Streptophyta; Magnoliopsida; Malvales; Malvaceae
Source: RefSeq, a predicted model, not a curated record